Molecule: ribosomal RNA, 433 nt
Filed under: uncultured bacterium
Lineage: Bacteria
Description: partial 16S ribosomal RNA
Rfam family: Bacterial small subunit ribosomal RNA
Source: RNAcentral
AGCGAACGCUGGCGGCAGGCCUAACACAUGCAAGUCGAACGAACUCUUCGGUGUUAGUGGCGGACGGGUGAGUAACACGUGGGAACGUGCCUUUUGGCUCGGAAUAACUCAGGGAUACUUGUGCUAAUACCGAAUGUGCCCUUCGGGGGACAGAUUUAUCGCCAUUAGAGCGGCCCGCGUCUGAUUAGCUAGUUGGUGAGGUAACGGCUCACCAAGGCGACGAUCAGGAGCUGGUCUGAGAGGAUGACAAGCCACACUGGGACUGAGACACGGCCCAGACUCGUACGGGAGGCAGCAGUGGGGAAUGUUGCGCAAUGAGGGAAAGCCUGACGAAGCCAUGCCGGGUGAAUGAUGAAGGUCUUAGGAUUGUAAAAUUCUUACAGCGGAGACGAUAAUGACGGUACCCGGAGAAGAAGCCCCGGCUAACUACGUG